UACGAAGGGGGCUAGCGUUGCUCGGAAUUACUGGGCGUAAAAGGCGCGUAGGCGGAUGUUUAAGUCGGGGGUGAAAGCCCAGGGCUCAACCCUGGAAUUGCCUUCGAUACUGGACAUCUUGAGUACGGGAGAGGUGAGUGGAACUCCGAGUGUAGAGGUGAAAUUCGUAGAUAUUCGGAAGAACACCAGUGGCGAAGGCGACUCACUGGCCCGUUACUGACGCUGAUGCGCGAAAGCGUGGGGAGCAAACAGG
RNAcentral lists this ribosomal RNA (253 nucleotides) under uncultured bacterium. Its description in RNAcentral is "partial 16S ribosomal RNA". It matches the Rfam family "Bacterial small subunit ribosomal RNA", at positions 524 to 776 of the family's 1533-position model. The record is from RNAcentral.